GAAAAAUAUAUUUUCCUGAAAUAAUUUUCUUGGGUUGAUAUUAACUACAUAAAAAUUUCUGACAUUUUCAUCUUUUCCAAUCAAGUCUACUUUUCAAAUUCUUCUGAAAAUUCUUAAAUUGGUCUUUUUUUAGCUUGCCUUAGGCUCACCUCAUAAUUUCUAAACUUCUGAAAGCAACAUCACUGGCCUUUUAAAUACCAUAUGUACCCCUUUAAAUUUAUUUCUUUAUUACAUGAUGUUUGAAAUAUUUCAGUGUGUUGAUAGUUAAGUGUGGAUGUGGCCAAACUUAAUGAAUUCCACAUUCUUGGGGCUUUGUAUUUUAUUUUAUUUUUUAAUUUCCCUACCCCAUUUAGUUAUAUAACCAUGGUUUUUUAAAAACAUUUUCUUCAAAACAUUUUAUCUGUUUAGCACAGUACAUCCCAAGCUACUGAAUAAAUCAACAAAGAUAAAAUGUGACAGUAGUAGCCUCAGGUUAUUCAUAAAUGGACGGUGUUCAUAACUGAGAAAGUGGAGGAAAAAGCGUGACUUGCUAUGUUUAGUGGUAACUGAGUUAAUUAUUUGCUGACAUUGAUAUUCCACGAUAAUUGCCACAUUUCACAGGAUUUCUCAGAGAUUCCUAGGUUAACAGCUUUCAAAUCUGAUUAACCAAACUAAAAGAAAUAAAAUCAGGAAGUUCCUGAAUUGCUGAUUGCUGGAAACAGUAUGGCAGAAACCACACCACCACAAGCCUGUUCUCCUCUUAUUACCUUCCUUAGGUAUCUAUUCUUGAGCAGAGAGAGAUGAGUAUUGGGCUACGUAAGACUUCAUGGCCAUCCACAGAGAAUCUAAGACAUCAGUAUGACACUUUGACAAAGUAUACUGAAAGUGAUGCACAGCUAACAGAUGAAAACACUGAAAACCCACAAUUCAUAACUUGUUUGACUUGAGGCACACAGUUACGAUAAUGACAACUGGAGCCAUACUGUGUUCUGCAUGCUUUCAGCAGCUCUCUCAGGUAAUUUUUAUUGUUUUAUUACUUUGGCUACUUUGUUUACCACCAGUGUAGUUUCUUGCUACAGCUUACAAUAUUUUCAUUAGAAUGGAAAAUGUUCAUCAGUAAAUUUGGUACUCUUUCUUAUUAUAAAACUUGCUGUGUUUCCUCAUAUAUUAAACACAGUCCAUGCAGGUCAGGCAACCUGCAUCUCUCAAAAGCACUGCCUACUUGCUAACCCAUCUAGUGUAAAAAGAUACUUCUAAUUGGACAUCUUUUCCAAGAAAAUUCCUUCUUUAACUAAAGGAAAACAUUCACAGCCCAUGUUCAGCUAUUUUGUGCUUAUCCAGAAACAAUGGAUUUUAGCAGGCUGGAGGUAAACAGAAGUUAAAAUAAUUCAUCAGAUUCCCUGAAGUCACCCCAGACACUACACUGUAGGUAACGUUUGUCUUUGUACACUUGUAAGAUCCCUUUUGUAACCUCCCCAGCAGAACUUUGAUGUAUGUUCCCACAUUGUAGUUAGUCUUGGGGGUUGAACUAUUUCCUACUACAGCCUGAGGUCUGUUUUGCAGGGCACAAGUAACAUUUUGUUCUGUGUACAGACACUGAAUGCACCCAUUGUGCUCAACCAACUGCACUGCACUCCCAGCUAUUUCCUCCUUGCUCACAUUUUAUGAACACCUGAGGAUGUUGGGGAUUGCAAAAAAAAAAAAUGACAAGGUGAGCUAAAACUUCUGAACUUGGGCACUCACAUUGUCUAGGUUUAAGGAUUUGUUCAACCUUUUUAGAAUUUAAUACAUUUCAGAAAUAACCUAGUGUCAAGAUUUGCCAUACUCAGUGCUCAUGGUUUAACUAGUAUAUGCUUCAGAGACACUUCUUCUGAUCUUGAAU
This 1861-nucleotide long non-coding RNA is filed under the name Anas platyrhynchos platyrhynchos (common mallard). RNAcentral describes it as "lncRNA (ENSAPLG00000018931.1)". The record is from RNAcentral. Lineage: Eukaryota; Metazoa; Chordata; Aves; Anseriformes; Anatidae.